RNAcentral lists this ribosomal RNA (244 nucleotides) under uncultured bacterium. Its description in RNAcentral is "partial small subunit ribosomal RNA". It matches the Rfam family "Bacterial small subunit ribosomal RNA", at positions 26 to 285 of the family's 1533-position model. The record is from RNAcentral.
AGAAUCAACGCUGGCGGCGUGCCUAACACAUGCAAGUCGCACGAGAAAGGGGCUUCGGCCCUGAGUAAAGUGGCGCACGGGUGAGUAACACGUGAAUGAUCUACCUCCGAGUGGGGAAUAACUGAGAGAAAUCUUGGCUAAUACCGCAUAAUACCCACGGGUCAAAGCAGCAAUGCGCUUGGAGAGGAGUUCGCGGCAGAUUAGCUAGUUGGCGGGUAAUGGCCCACCAAGGCGAUGAUCUGUA